This 444-nucleotide ribosomal RNA is filed under the name soil bacterium 5V-03. RNAcentral's name for it is "bacterial SSU rRNA". It matches the Rfam family "Bacterial small subunit ribosomal RNA", at positions 25 to 479 of the family's 1533-position model. The record is from RNAcentral.
CAGGAUGAACGCUAGCGGCAGGCUUAAUACAUGCAAGGCGAAGGGGCAGCAAUGUCACUGUCGUACGGGUGCGUAACGCGUAUGCAACCUACCUAUCACUGGGGGAUAGCCCGGGGAAACCCGGAUUAAUACCGCAUAAAACAGGGGCACCGCAUGGUGAUAUUUGUUAAAGAUUUAUUGGUGAUAGAUGGGCAUGCGUUCGAUUAGCUAGUUGGCGGGGUAACGGCCCACCAAGGCGACGAUCGAUAGGGGAGCUGAGAGGUUGAUCCCCCACACGGGCACUGAGAUACGGGCCCGACUCCUACGGGAGGCAGCAGUAGGGAAUAUUGGGCAAUGGAUGCAAGUCUGACCCAGCCAUGCCGCGUGCCGGAUGAAGGCCCUCAGGGUUGUAAACGGCUUUUAUUCGGGAAGAAGAGCAGGGAUGCGUCCUUGUGUGACGGUACC